GGCUAAUCUGAGCUGGGCUGGGCUGGCUGGGCUGGCAUGAACUAAGCUGAGGGCUGUCUGGGUGUUGUGAUGAUGGUGAGCUGGCUGCUUUAUAUCAGUUCUGAGGCCUGGGUAUGCCAGCGCCGUGUCUUGGGGUCAUGCUGCCUGUCACCACGGACACUGGCUCCCUCGGCAGUGCCUGUGACCAGCCCCAAGGCUUUCCCGCUGCACAACCUCAGCCCUGAGUCGGAAGAACACAUGGAAGUCGCCUGCCUGAUUCAGGGCUUCUUCCCGGAGCCCGCGAACGUGAGCUGGAGCCACAGUGGGGAUGAAGUGACCAUCAGGACCUUCCCGCCUAGCCUGGCUGCCUCUGAUGGCCUGUACACCAUGACCAGCCAGCUGACCAUGCCGGCCGCCCAGUGCUCCAAAAACUCGCCCCCAAGAUGCCACGUGCAACACUUCUCAUACCAACAAGAUGUGGCCAUGUCCUGCCCAGUGCCGCCCUCGUGCUGCGAGCCCCGGCUGUCACUGCACAGACCAGCCCUGGAGGACCUGCUGCUGGGCUCGGACGCCAGCCUCACGUGCACACUGAGUGGCCUGAGGGACCCCAAGGGUGCCACCUUCACCUGGCAGCCCACAGGCGGGAAGGAUGCUGUCCAGGGCACACCCAAGCUCGACUCCUGCGGCUGCUACAGUGUGUCCAGCAUCCUGCCUGGCUGCGCCGAGCCCUGGAACAGUGGGGAGCACUUCACAUGCACCGCCACCCACCCUGAGUCCACCAAUCAGCUGACCGCCACCAUCUUCAAGCCCUCAGGGAACACCUUCCGGCCCCAGGUCCACCUGCUGCCGCCGCCGUCGGAGGAGCUGGCCCUGAACGAGCUGGUGACUCUGACAUGCCUGGUGCGAGGCUUUAGUCCCGAAGACGUGUUGGUGCGCUGGUUGGACGGGUCCCAGGAGCUGCUCCCUAAAGACUACGUGACGUGGGCCCCCCAGCCAGAACCCGGCAACAGUGCCCCCACCUUCGCUGUGAUCAGCAUGCUCCGCGUGGCGGCCGAGCGCUGGAAGGACGGCCAGAAAUACUCCUGCGUGGUGGGCCAUGAAGCCCUCCCCACAGCCUUCACCCAGAAGACCAUCGACCGCCAAGCGGGUAUACCCACGCGUGUCAACGUGUCCGUGAUCGUGGCCGAGGCAGAGGGCGUCUGCUACUGAGCCCGCCCGCUGCCCACCCUGCCCCGAAUAAACUGCUGGCCUGGAGCACCUGCCCUGCA
This is a non-coding RNA of Tupaia belangeri chinensis (Chinese tree shrew), 1247 nucleotides long. The record is from the annotation of a RefSeq genome assembly. Lineage: Eukaryota; Metazoa; Chordata; Mammalia; Scandentia; Tupaiidae.